This 1242-nucleotide ribosomal RNA is filed under the name metagenome. Its description in RNAcentral is "SSU rRNA". It matches the Rfam family "Eukaryotic small subunit ribosomal RNA", at positions 528 to 1789 of the family's 1831-position model. The record is from RNAcentral.
AAUCCUUUAACGAGGAUCUAUUGGAGGGCAAGUCUGGUGCCAGCAGCCGCGGUAAUUCCAGCUCCAAUAGCGUAUAUUAAAGUUGUCUGGUUAAAAAGCUCGUAGUUGGAUCUCAGUUCGAGUCAGGCGGUCCACUUGCCAGUGGCUACUGCCUGACUGAACACUUUACCGAGUUGUCCUAUGGUGUUCUUCACCGAGCGUCAUAGGCGAUCGGUACGUUUACUUUGAAAAAAUUAGAGUGCUCAAAGCAGGCGUAACGCCCGAAUAAUGUUGCAUGGAAUAAUGGAAUAGGACCUCGGUUCUAUUUUGUUGGUCUUCGGAAUCAGAGGUAAUGAUCAAUAGGGACAGACGGGGACAUUCGUAUUGCGGCGCUAGAGGUGAAAUUCUUGGACCGUCGCAAGACGAACUAAAGCGAAAGCAUUUGUCAAGAAUGUUUUCAUUAAUCAAGAACGAAAGUUAGAGGUUCGAAGGCGAUCAGAUACCGCCCUAGUUCUAACCAUAAACGAUGCCAACCAGUAAUUCGUCUGAGUUCCUUAAAUGACUCGACGAGGGACUUCCGGGAAACCAAAGUCUUUCGGUUCCAGGGGAAGUAUGGUUGCAAAGCUGAAACUUAAAGAAAUUGACGGAAGGGCACCACCAGGAGUGGAGCCUGCGGCUUAAUUUGACUCAACACGGGAAAACUCACCCGGCCCGGACACUGGAAGGAUUGACAGAUUGAGAGCUCUUUCUUGAUUCAGUGGGUGGUGGUGCAUGGCCGUUCUUAGUUGGUGGAGUGAUUUGUCUGGUUAAUUCCGAUAACGAACGAGACUCUAGCCUACUAAAUAGAUCGUCGGCUUACAAACGCCGGCGAGACUUCUUAGAGGGACAGGCGGUGAUUCAACCGCACGAAACAGAGCAAUAACAGGUCUGUGAUGCCCUUAGAUGUCCGGGGCCGCACGCGCGCUACACUGAAGUGAUCAGCGUGCUUUUUCAACCUACUCUGUCAAGAGUGGGGAACCCAAUGAACCUUCUUCGUGAUUGGGAUAGGGGAUUGUAAUUAUUCCCCUUGAACGAGGAAUUCCCAGUAAGCGCGAGUCAUAAGCUCGCGUUGAUUACGUCCCUGCCCUUUGUACACACCGCCCGUCGCUACUACCGAUUGAAUGUUUUUAGUGAGGUCUUCGGACUGGCCGGCGCAGCACUCUCGUAGUGCAGCGCUGUGUUUGGAAAGAUGCCCAAACUUGAACAUUUAGAGGAAGUAAAAGU